GAUGAACGCUGGCGGCGUGCCUAAUACAUGCAAGUCGAGCGAACGGACGAGAAGCUUGCUUUUCUGAUGUUAGCGGCGGACGGGUGAGUAACACGUGGAUAACCUACCUAUAAGACUGGGAUAACUUCGGGAAACCGGAGCUAAUACCGGAUAAUAUUUUGAACCGCAUGGUUCAAAAGUGAAAGACGGUCUUGCUGUCACUUAUAGAUGGAUCCGCGCUGCAUUAGCUAGUUGGUAAGGUAACGGCUUACCAAGGCAACGAUGCAUAGCCGACCUGAGAGGGUGAUCGGCCACACUGGAACUGAGACACGGUCCAGACUCCUACGGGAGGCAGCAGUAGGGAAUCUUCCGCAAUGGGCGAAGGCCUGACGGAGCAACGCCGCGUGAGUGAUGAAGGUCUUCGGAUCGUAAAACUCUGUUAUUAGGGAAGAACAUAUGUGUAAGUAACUGUGCACAUCUUGACGGUACCUAAUCAGAAAGCCACGGCUAACUACGU
RNAcentral lists this ribosomal RNA (496 nucleotides) under uncultured bacterium. RNAcentral's name for it is "partial 16S ribosomal RNA". It matches the Rfam family "Bacterial small subunit ribosomal RNA", at positions 28 to 506 of the family's 1533-position model. The record is from RNAcentral.